This 426-nucleotide long non-coding RNA is filed under the name Pan troglodytes (chimpanzee). RNAcentral's name for it is "lincRNA". The record is from RNAcentral. Lineage: Eukaryota; Metazoa; Chordata; Mammalia; Primates; Hominidae.
GAUACCGGACUUGGUGGAGAAGGAUGGUAUGAAUGUGUUUCUAGGUGGCUGCCUGGACAAGGGAGUUCAGCCUUUGGGAGAUAAAGCAGAAUAUAAAGGGUCUCACUCUGUCACCCAGGCUGGAGUGCAGUGGCGCAAUCUCAGCUCACUGUAGACUCAACCUCCUGGGCUCAAGCGAUUCUCCCACCUCAGCCUUCUGACUUUGCCUCGGGAGAGAUAAAGAGAGUCGAUUCCGAGUACAGCUGGGCCACUGGGACUGCAUUCCUGCCUGUGAGGAGGAGAGCCUGUCAAUGAGCCAGAAGGGGCUAACAGAGGUUGUACUUACAGGUUCUCAAGUUUUGCUAUCAUAAACACCCAAAGUACACCACGCCUGCAAGCUGAAGGCUGACAGGAUAGAAAACUUGCACAAGACAGUUAACAUUGUAG